RNAcentral lists this ribosomal RNA (255 nucleotides) under uncultured prokaryote. RNAcentral's name for it is "partial 16S ribosomal RNA". It matches the Rfam family "Bacterial small subunit ribosomal RNA", at positions 521 to 775 of the family's 1533-position model. The record is from RNAcentral.
UAAUACGAAGGGGGCUAGCGUUGUUCGGAAUUACUGGGCGUAAAGCGCACGUAGGCGGGUCGUUAAGUCAGGGGUGAAAUCCCGGAGCUCAACUCCGGAACUGCCUUUGAUACUGGCGAUCUAGAGGUCGAGAGAGGUGAGUGGAAUUCCGAGUGUAGAGGUGAAAUUCGUAGAUAUUCGGAAGAACACCAGUGGCGAAGGCGGCUCACUGGCUCGAUACUGACGCUGAGGUGCGAAAGCGUGGGGAGCAAACAG